Long non-coding RNA from Cyprinus carpio carpio, 758 nucleotides. Lineage: Eukaryota; Metazoa; Chordata; Actinopteri; Cypriniformes; Cyprinidae. The record is from Ensembl.
AACAGGCAGAAUCAUAAUCGGUACACAGGCAGAAUGUCAGGGUAUCAAGCUGAGAAUCACAGUCCAAGAAACAAGCAAUAUAGUCCAGAAGGCAUGCAGCAGUAAUCGUAAACCAGGGAACAGACAAAAUAAGCAACAGACAGACAAUAGAAAAUGCUCAGAAGUGUAACCGUAGUACAACAAGACCUCGCCCUGAACACAAGAAAGCUAGCAGCUUAAAUACUAAAAUCCAAUGAGCUGCAGCUGGAGAGUAAUCAGAGUCCAAGGAUGGGGCUUGUGGGAAAUGUAGUGCAAUAGUCACUGUGUGUGUAUGUGGUUGUAGGAAGAGUGGCAGAAUCAUAAUCGGUACACAGGCAGAAUGUCAGGGUAUCAAGCUGAGAAUCACAGUCCAAGAAACAAGCAAUAUAGUCCAGAAGGCAUGCAGCAGUAAUCGUAAACCAGGGAACAGACAAAAUAAGCAACAGACAGACAAUAGAAAAUGCUCAGAAGUGUAACCGUAGUACAACAAGACCUCGCCCUGAACACAAGAAAGCUAGCAGCUUAAAUACUAAAAUCCAAUGAGCUGCAGCUGGAGAGUAAUCAGAGUCCAAGGAUGGGGCUUGUGGGAAAUGUAGUGCAAUAGUCACUGUGUGUGUAUGUGGUUGUAGGAAGAGUGGCAGGUGCAGGGUGAAUGGGAAAUGGAGUUCAAUGGAUAUGUGAAGUCCAGUUUGGAGUGCCCUCUGGUGGCCAUGACGGGCACUCUCACUUGUGAUCAUGAC